GAUUGACCUCGGAUCAGGUAGGGAUACCCGCUGAAC
RNAcentral lists this ribosomal RNA (36 nucleotides) under Ramalina roesleri. Its description in RNAcentral is "partial 28S ribosomal RNA". The record is from RNAcentral. Lineage: Eukaryota; Fungi; Ascomycota; Lecanoromycetes; Lecanorales; Ramalinaceae.